This 45-nucleotide non-coding RNA is filed under the name Schistosoma mansoni. The record is from RNAcentral. Lineage: Eukaryota; Metazoa; Platyhelminthes; Trematoda; Strigeidida; Schistosomatidae.
AUCCGGCUGAAGAGUCCCCAAUAGGACGAGACGCACGUCUUGCAU